UCGCACUGUGAAUGGCUGCGGGAUAUUAAAUAUCACUCCCAGUUCCGCAACCAUUUCUGGAGGUCCCAAUUUUGACAGGAACUGUUUACAUCAGUUUAUGUUAUUGUAAAAGGUUGUAAGGAUACUAUGUUGCAGAAGUAGAAGGGAAGCAGAAGAGAAGAACAAUACAAACCACUGGACCAGAUACAAUGACAUAGAAAUCUGUUGAUCAAGAUUUGGAACAAGGAU
Long non-coding RNA from Ipomoea nil (Japanese morning glory), 228 nucleotides. RefSeq lists it as uncharacterized. Lineage: Eukaryota; Viridiplantae; Streptophyta; Magnoliopsida; Solanales; Convolvulaceae. The record is from RefSeq and is a predicted model, not a curated record. The transcript is spliced from 3 exons.